This 722-nucleotide long non-coding RNA is filed under the name Fukomys damarensis (Damara mole-rat). RNAcentral describes it as "lncRNA (ENSFDAG00000033328.1)". Lineage: Eukaryota; Metazoa; Chordata; Mammalia; Rodentia; Bathyergidae. The record is from RNAcentral.
UGGCAGCGCAGGCCUUCGCGGCUACUCCUCCUUAUUAGUGACUUUCAUCAGAAUUUUCUGCUCGCUUCUCCUGGGGCUGGAGCUCUAGAUUUCAGGUGCAAACCGGACGAAGCGAAUUUCUCCUGACUUCAUCGCACGGCCCGGUUAGGCCUGCAGGAGGAGGAGCCGCCGCCGCGCUUCAGGCCAGCGCAGGGCUGCGCUCUGCAGUCCCAACCCGCCUCCAUUAUUUGUUUUCGGAGAACUCGUCUUCCAGGGGAGCCUCGAGCGGAUAAAAGCAGACCGCGGCGCCCACGCAUCUCGGCUCCAGGAGGCGUGUGGGUCCCAGCUCUUCCCUGGGAGGGCGGAGGAGCAGCUGAAAUCUAAACCUAUUUGGAUUCAUUUAAAUCUAAUUUACGUCUUGCAGAAGGUCAUAUGAAGGAUAUAGACAUUGUCUGCUUUAGAACAAAAGGUGAGCAUGUAAGACAUGAGAAGAAAGGGAAGUACUAUAACAUAGCAGCUGUAGUGAAAAUGUUUUCGUGGCCUAGAGAAGUUUAGGUCUCCAAGUUUUGGGAUCAGGGAGAACAUGGGAAAGAAAGGGCUUAUUUGAAUGGCUAUUCAUUUGGCAUUUGUCUAGUGAUAUGUACUUUGGGCACAAGAGCAAGAGCUUUUUGCUCUUGACUUGUUUCCACUUUGGAUUAUUAACACACAAAUACAUGUACAAAAACACAUAAAUUUUCGCACAC